This 253-nucleotide ribosomal RNA is filed under the name uncultured bacterium. RNAcentral describes it as "partial 16S ribosomal RNA". It matches the Rfam family "Bacterial small subunit ribosomal RNA", at positions 524 to 776 of the family's 1533-position model. The record is from RNAcentral.
UACGGGGGGGGCUAGCGUUGUUCGGAAUUACUGGGCGUAAAGGGCGCGUAGGCGGCCUGCUAAGUCGGACGUGAAAUCCCUCGGCUCAACCGGGGAACUGCGUCCGAUACUGGUGGGCUCGAAUCCGGGAGAGGGAUGUGGAAUUCCAGGUGUAGCGGUGAAAUGCGUAGAUAUCUGGAGGAACACCGGUGGCGAAGGCGGCAUCCUGGACCGGUAUUGACGCUGAUGCGCGAAAGCCAGGGGAGCAAACGGG